GACGAACGCUGGCGGCGUGCUUAACACAUGCAAGUCGAACGGAAAGGCCCUGCUUUUGUGGGGUGCUCGAGUGGCGAACAGGGGAGUAACACGUGAGUAACCUGCCCUUGACUUUGGGAUAACUUCAGGAAACUGGGGCUAAUACCGGAUAGGAGCUCCUGCUGCAUGGUGGGGGUUGGAAAGUGUCGGCGGUUGGGGAUGGACUCGCGGCUUAUCAGCUUGUUUGUGGAGUAGUGGGUUACCAAGGCUUCGACGGGUAGCCGGCCUGAGAGGGUGACCGGCGACACUGGGACUGAGAUAAGGCAGAGACUCCUACGGGAGGCAGCAGGGGGGAAUAUUGCAGAAUGGGCGGAAGCCUGAUGCAGAAACGCCGCGUGCCGGAUGACGGCCUUCGGGUUGUAAACCGCUUUCGUCUGUGACGAAGCGUGAGUGAAGGUAAUGGGUAAAGAAGCACCGGCUAACUACGUG
RNAcentral lists this ribosomal RNA (468 nucleotides) under uncultured bacterium. Its description in RNAcentral is "partial 16S ribosomal RNA". It matches the Rfam family "Bacterial small subunit ribosomal RNA", at positions 28 to 507 of the family's 1533-position model. The record is from RNAcentral.